CAGCCCUUGACAUGGCAGGACGGUUUCCAGAGAUGGAUUCCUUCACUUCGGUGACUUGCACACAGGUGCUGCAUGGCUGUCGUCAGCUCGUGUCGUGAGAUGUUGGGUUAAGUCCCGCAACGAGCGCAACCCUCGCCUUUAGUUGCCAUCAUUUAGUUGGGCACUCUAGAGGGACUGCCGGUGAUAAGCCGGAGGAAGGUGGGGAUGACGUCAAGUCUUCAUGGCCCUUACGGGCUGGGCUACACACGUGCUACAAUGGCGGUGACAGAGGGCAGCUAGUCCGCGAGGACAUGCUAAUCCCUAAAAGCCGUCUCAGUUCGGAUUGCACUCUGCAACUCGAGUGCAUGAAGUUGGAAUCGCUAGUAAUCGUAGAUCAGCACGCUACGGUGAAUACGUUCCC
This 400-nucleotide ribosomal RNA is filed under the name uncultured bacterium. RNAcentral's name for it is "bacterial SSU rRNA". It matches the Rfam family "Bacterial small subunit ribosomal RNA", at positions 975 to 1375 of the family's 1533-position model. The record is from RNAcentral.